Molecule: long non-coding RNA, 577 nt
Organism: Vicia villosa (hairy vetch)
Lineage: Eukaryota; Viridiplantae; Streptophyta; Magnoliopsida; Fabales; Fabaceae
Exons: 2
Source: RefSeq, a predicted model, not a curated record
GGAGCUAAACAGUUAUACAUGAACCAUCUGCGUCCCUUCUUGUUGAAGCAUCAAGAGAGUCUUGAUCGCGUUUUAGGCCUUGCAUAUUGUGAAGUGAUCAAGCUUUUUAGUUUAUAUCAAAAAGAGAUCCAGUCAGUCAAGAUCAUGGUAGGAAAGAUAAUCGAAUCAGGUGAAACACUAUUUCUAUGCUUUGCAAUAGCUUUUGCUCGUUAUGUAAGAUACUAAACUGCAAAUUGAGUUUCUCUAUCUGUAUGGAUCAACUGAUAAAAUGUUGAGAAGCCCACCUACUGCAUCAGGUAGAUCAUCACAACGUAGUUCAGUUGAUGAAUCUGCCACACCUUUCAAUGCCGAGCCACACCUUAAAUGUUGAAAUCCUUUUUCUCUAAGAAAAAAACCAUAAGCUUUCUCCUGAUAGGAUGUCAUAGAUAAAUUUUCCGAGAUUUGCUUUUUUGCAAAGAUUGGAAGCUGUCAAUAUUUUUGUUGGUUUUAUAGAUUGACUUUUAAUAAUUGAUUUAUAAUUUUGUUUGUCUGUUGAUUUUAUAGAUUAACUUUUAAUGAAUGAUUGUAGUGGAGUUCA